RNAcentral lists this ribosomal RNA (138 nucleotides) under uncultured eukaryote. RNAcentral's name for it is "partial 18S ribosomal RNA". It matches the Rfam family "Eukaryotic small subunit ribosomal RNA", at positions 1299 to 1458 of the family's 1831-position model. The record is from RNAcentral.
UGGUGGAGCGAUUUGUCUGGUUAAUUCCGAUAACGAACGAGACUCUAGCCUAUUAAAUAGUUCACCGAUGUCCAAGCGUCGGCGGCAACUUCUUAGAGGGACAGGUGUCGUAUAGGCACACGAGAUUGAGCAAUAACA